RNAcentral lists this small RNA (413 nucleotides) under Histoplasma capsulatum. Its description in RNAcentral is "hypothetical RNA". The record is from RNAcentral. RNAcentral also lists the same sequence under 1 other name. Lineage: Eukaryota; Fungi; Ascomycota; Eurotiomycetes; Onygenales; Ajellomycetaceae.
GCCAUUUUUCUCCAUGUUGAUCAGUGUCAGUGAUCGACAAGCUGCCAAUUGUGAAAGAUCUUUGCUUGCUUUCUUGCUUGCUUGCAAGGGCCUAGAGUUGGGAGCGCGCGUGUAUGUCUACUAUAUAGUAUAUAGUUAAGGAGGAGGUUGUUCGCUGUGCAGACUAGUACUCAACGCUGCGUACAGCAAUUACAAACACAUUAUUGCUCUGUGCUACUACUGACAAUGGCCGGUUGCUGGGCCGGUUGCUGGGGUUCAUAUCUUGGUUCACUUUUUACUUCAAUGAAUGGCAUGCUCGGUCUUGUACCACCUCGAAUGGGGAAGGACUUGUAAGGCUGCAUAUUUAAGUGAUUUUUUUUUCUUCUUUUUUCCCCUUGUUUCACAUGUAUAUAAACCCACGCUUGGAAUCGCGG